This 494-nucleotide ribosomal RNA is filed under the name uncultured bacterium. Its description in RNAcentral is "partial 16S ribosomal RNA". It matches the Rfam family "Bacterial small subunit ribosomal RNA", at positions 28 to 507 of the family's 1533-position model. The record is from RNAcentral.
GACGAACGCUGGCGGCGUGCUUAACACAUGCAAGUCGAACGGAAAGGCCUGCUUUCCCUUGUGGAUUGCGGGUACUCGAGUGGCGAACGGGUGAGUAACACGUGAGUGAUCUGUCCCCAACUUGGGUAUAAGCCUGGGAAACUGGGUCUAAUUCCCGAUAGGACUGCAGGGUGGUGCCUGUGGUGGAAAACGAUUUUCUAGUGGUUGGGGAUGAGCUCGCGGCCUAUCAGCUUGUUGGUGGGGUAAUGGCCUACCAAGGCGGCGACGGGUAGCCGGCCUGAGAGGGUGGACGGCCACAUUGGGACUGAGAUACGGCCCAGACUCCUACGGGAGGCAGCAGUGGGGAAUAUUGCACAAUGGGCGGAAGCCUGAUGCAGCGACGCCGCGUGGGGGAUGACGGCCUUCGGGUUGUAAACUCCUUUCGACCGCGAGGAAGCCACCUGGUUGGAAGGGUGGUGACGGUAGUGGUAGAAGAAGCACCGGCUAACUACGUG